Molecule: ribosomal RNA, 395 nt
Filed under: Shigella flexneri
Lineage: Bacteria; Pseudomonadati; Pseudomonadota; Gammaproteobacteria; Enterobacterales; Enterobacteriaceae
Also listed under: 1 other name
Description: bacterial SSU rRNA
Rfam family: Bacterial small subunit ribosomal RNA
Source: RNAcentral
CAAGUCGAACGGUAACAGGAAGCAGCUUGCUGUUUCGCUGACGAGUGGCGGACGGGUGAGUAAUGUCUGGGAAACUGCCUGAUGGAGGGGGAUAACUACUGGAAACGGUAGCUAAUACCGCAUAACGUCGCAAGACCAAAGAGGGGGACCUUCGGGCCUCUUGCCAUCGGAUGUGCCCAGAUGGGAUUAGCUAGUAGGUGGGGUAACGGCUCACCUAGGCGACGAUCCCUAGCUGGUCUGAGAGGAUGACCAGCCACACUGGAACUGAGACACGGUCCAGACUCCUACGGGAGGCAGCAGUGGGGAAUAUUGCACAAUGGGCGCAAGCCUGAUGCAGCCAUGCCGCGUGUAUGAAGAAGGCCUUCGGGUUGUAAAGUACUUUCAGCGGGGAGGAA